Non-coding RNA from Pelobates cultripes (western spadefoot toad), 220 nucleotides. The record is from the annotation of a GenBank genome assembly. NCBI's taxonomy places the organism in Eukaryota, Metazoa, Chordata, Amphibia, Anura, Pelobatidae.
CCCAGACCUACAUUUUGAUGCAUAGUAUGUCUCUGAAGUAUUAAAAAUGAAGGCACAGUCGCAGUUUAGAAAUUGCACUUCAAAUUUGAGCUUUGCAGAGUGAAGUUUCAAUGAAAGUCAAUGGACGGCAUUAGUUGCAAACAAAUGAUUAUAUUGUGAAAACUAUCAGGACUAUGGCUUAGCCGUUGACAUGUUUAGUGGCAGCAGGGAUAGCUGAACG